This 171-nucleotide non-coding RNA is filed under the name Pseudoalteromonas piscicida. RNAcentral's name for it is "Lysine sequence". It matches the Rfam family "Lysine riboswitch aptamer". Rfam says of the family: Riboswitches are metabolite binding domains within certain messenger RNAs that serve as precision sensors for their corresponding targets. Allosteric rearrangement of mRNA structure is mediated by ligand binding, and this results in modulation of gene expression. This family includes riboswitches that sense lysine in a number of genes involved in lysine metabolism, including lysC. The record is from RNAcentral. Lineage: Bacteria; Pseudomonadati; Pseudomonadota; Gammaproteobacteria; Alteromonadales; Pseudoalteromonadaceae.
AUAAACAGAAGAGGCGCGAUGCUUAGGUAGUUAGUGUGAGGUGACGAGACCAAUGAUCACUAGUGAGGGAAGUAUUCGCCGAGGAGAAAAGUUGCUCGUCGCAACGAUUCUUCGGUUUACGAGGCUGAAUCCUCGGAACUGUCACCGUAUUGGUGGAGAGCUUCUGGCAAA